This is a regulatory RNA element of Paraglaciecola arctica BSs20135, 439 nucleotides long. It matches the Rfam family "cspA thermoregulator". The record is from Rfam. Lineage: Bacteria; Pseudomonadati; Pseudomonadota; Gammaproteobacteria; Alteromonadales; Alteromonadaceae.
UGGAGUCUUAGAGAUAUACUAAACAAGCUUGAAAGUAAGUUUGAUAUUUAUGUACAUUGUUUCGACGUUCCAUUGUAGUACCCGGUCUCGUAGCUCAUAAGUAAUUGCAACACACUUCAGCACAACUUACGUCUCCUCGGAGACACAAUUACUCUUGAAAAAUAUAGGAAAGACUAUGUCUGCAACUACUGGUACAGUAAAAUGGUUUAACGAAUCAAAAGGUUUCGGUUUCAUUCAACAAGAAAACGGCCCUGAUGUUUUUGCUCACUUCCGUGCUAUCACAGGUACUGGCUUUAAAACUUUGGCCGAAGGUCAAAAAGUUGAGUUCACUGUAACUCAAGGCCAAAAAGGUCCUCAAGCUGAGAACAUCGUAGUACUUUAAUUAUCAAAUAAUUAAAAUUCUAUAAGAAAAAGCAAACCUUAGGGUUUGCUUUUUUUA